RNAcentral lists this transfer RNA (90 nucleotides) under Phenylobacterium sp. RNAcentral's name for it is "tRNA-Ser". It matches the Rfam family "tRNA". Rfam says of the family: Transfer RNA (tRNA) molecules are approximately 80 nucleotides in length. Their secondary structure includes four short double-helical elements and three loops (D, anti-codon, and T loops). Further hydrogen bonds mediate the characteristic L-shaped molecular structure. tRNAs have two regions of fundamental functional importance: the anti-codon, which is responsible for specific mRNA codon recognition, and the 3' end, to which the tRNAs corresponding amino acid is attached (by aminoacyl-tRNA synthetases). tRNAs cope with the degeneracy of the genetic code in two manners: having more than one tRNA (with a specific anti-codon) for a particular amino acid; and 'wobble' base-pairing, i.e. permitting non-standard base-pairing at the 3rd anti-codon position. Lineage: Bacteria; Pseudomonadati; Pseudomonadota; Alphaproteobacteria; Caulobacterales; Caulobacteraceae. RNAcentral also lists the same sequence under 3 other names. The record is from RNAcentral.
GGAAGAGUGGCCGAGCGGUUUAAGGCACUGGUCUUGAAAACCAGCGAAGGGGUAACCCUUCCGUGGGUUCGAAUCCCACCUCUUCCGCCA